This 318-nucleotide long non-coding RNA is filed under the name Cicer arietinum (chickpea). RNAcentral describes it as "long non-coding RNA (CARI_LNC000741)". The record is from RNAcentral. Lineage: Eukaryota; Viridiplantae; Streptophyta; Magnoliopsida; Fabales; Fabaceae.
AUUUCAAUUUUUUUAUCCUUCCUGUUUUGUAUUUUUCUGCUAAAUUCCUGCUCCAUACUAUGUUCUAAGUUCCAUGACAUUUUCUCAAGAUUAUUGUAUAUAUCUUGUCGGAUACCCUAACAUUCAUGUAAUAUGUAUGUUGGAUGGUUUGUAUGAUUAGUUUAUCUGUAAGAUAUAUAUGAUUGUCUUAAGUAAAUCUCUAUGGAACAAAAAAUAAUAUCCAUAGAUUUAAACAAGUGUGAUUCUUGAAUUUCGUUGCUUCAUAUUUGAAUGCUUUCUUAAUGAAAUAUCGGAAGUGUGCUAAUGUAUUUGAAAAAC